RNAcentral lists this ribosomal RNA (233 nucleotides) under uncultured bacterium. RNAcentral describes it as "partial 16S ribosomal RNA". It matches the Rfam family "Archaeal small subunit ribosomal RNA", at positions 745 to 977 of the family's 1478-position model. The record is from RNAcentral.
UCCAGGGUGUAAACGCUGCUUGCUUGAUGUUGGUUGAGCUUCGAGUUCAAUCAGUGUCGGAGAGAAGUUGUUAAGCAAGCUGCCUGGGGAGUACGGCCGCAAGGCUGAAACUUAAAGGAAUUGGCGGGGGAGCACAGCAACGGGUGGAGCGUGCGGUUUAAUUGGAUUCAACGCCGGAAAACUCACCGGAGGCGACGGUUACAUGAAGGCCAGGCUGAUGACCUUGCCUGAUU